Molecule: ribosomal RNA, 253 nt
Filed under: uncultured bacterium
Lineage: Bacteria
Description: partial 16S ribosomal RNA
Rfam family: Bacterial small subunit ribosomal RNA
Source: RNAcentral
UACGUAGGAGGCGAGCGUUGUCCGGAAUUACUGGGCGUAAAGCGCGCGUAGGCGGCGUGCUGCGUCGGGGAUGAAAGCUCCCGGCUUACCUGGGAGAGGGUGCCCGAAACGAGCGCGCUGGAGGGCGGUAGGGGCUGGCGGAACGCCCGGAGUAGCGGUGAAAUGCGUUGAGAUCGGGCAGAACACCAGUGGCGAAGGCGGCCGGCUGGGCCGACCCUGACGCUGAGGCGCGAAAGCCAGGGGAGCGAACGGA